UCGGCGAUCUUUCGCGACAAUGGACGGAAAGUCCUGACUCCGCAGCACACUGCCCGCGUGAGUGAUGAAGGCUUUCGGAUCUGUAAAACUCUGUUGUUAGAGAAGAACAAGGUGGCAGAUAAUAUGUUCCCCUGCUGACGGUAUCUGCACAAAAAAGCCCCGGCUAACUACGUGCCAGCAGCCGCGGUAAUACGUAGGGUGCAAGCGUUAAUCGGAAUUACUGGGCGUAAAGCGUGUGCAGGCGGUUUCUUAAGUCUGAUGUGAAAUCCCUCGGCUCAACCUUGGAACGGCAUUUUAAACUGGCGAACUUGAAUGCGUAAGAGGGGGGUGGAAUUCCAUGUGUAGCGGUGAAAUGCGUAGAUAUGUGGAGGAAUACCGAUGGCGAAGGCGACCCCCUGGGAUGAUACUGACGCUCAGACUCGAAAGCGUGGGGAGCAAACAGGAUUAGAUACCCCGGUAGU
RNAcentral lists this ribosomal RNA (461 nucleotides) under Alcaligenes sp. RNAcentral's name for it is "bacterial SSU rRNA". It matches the Rfam family "Bacterial small subunit ribosomal RNA", at positions 354 to 794 of the family's 1533-position model. The record is from RNAcentral. Lineage: Bacteria; Pseudomonadati; Pseudomonadota; Betaproteobacteria; Burkholderiales; Alcaligenaceae.